This 441-nucleotide ribosomal RNA is filed under the name uncultured bacterium. RNAcentral describes it as "partial 16S ribosomal RNA". It matches the Rfam family "Bacterial small subunit ribosomal RNA", at positions 338 to 795 of the family's 1533-position model. The record is from RNAcentral.
CCUACGGGUGGCAGCAGUGGGGGAUAUUGCACAAUGGGGGGAACCCUGAUGCAGCGACGCCGCGUGGGUGAAGGAGCGCCUCGGCGCGUAAAGCCCUAUCUGCAGGGAAGAAGGAGGACGGUACCUGACUAAGAAGCCCCGGCUAACUACGUGCCAGCAGCCGCGGGAAUACGUAGGGGGCAAGCGUUACCCGGAGUUACUGGGUGUAAAGGGGGCGCUGACGGGAGCGCAAGCCGGGAGUGAAAGCCCGGGGCCCAACCCCGGGACUGCUGGUGGAACUGCGCGGCUGGAGUGCCGGAGGGGCAGGCGGAAUUCGUGGUGUAGCGGUGAAAUGCGUAGAUAUCAGGAGGAACGCCGGUGGCGAAGGCGGCCUGCUGGACUGCGACUGACGUUGAGGCCCGAAAGCGUGGGGAGCGAACAGGAUUAGAUACCCCAGUAGUC